UAACACGUGGAUAAUCUGCCCUGCACAGGGGGACAACAGCUAGAAAUGGCUGCUAAUACCGCAUAAGCCUACAGCCUCGCAUGAGGGAGUAGGAAAAGAAAUUCGGUGCAGGAUGAGUCCGCGUCUGAUUAGCUAGUUGGAGGGGUAAGAGCCCACCAAGGCAACGAUCAGUAGCCGGCCUGAGAGGGCGACCGGCCACAUUGGGACUGAGACACGGCCCAAACUCCUACGGGAGGCAGCAG
RNAcentral lists this ribosomal RNA (242 nucleotides) under uncultured bacterium. RNAcentral's name for it is "partial 16S ribosomal RNA". It matches the Rfam family "Bacterial small subunit ribosomal RNA", at positions 111 to 354 of the family's 1533-position model. The record is from RNAcentral.